This 623-nucleotide ribosomal RNA is filed under the name uncultured Actinomycetes bacterium. RNAcentral's name for it is "bacterial SSU rRNA". It matches the Rfam family "Bacterial small subunit ribosomal RNA", at positions 556 to 1174 of the family's 1533-position model. The record is from RNAcentral. Lineage: Bacteria; Bacillati; Actinomycetota; Actinomycetes.
GGGCGUAAGAGCUCGUAGGCGGUUUGACACGUCUGCUGUGAAAACUGGGGGCUCAACCCCCAACCUGCAUUGGAUACGGUCUGACUAGAGUGUGGUAGGGGUGAUGGGAAUUCCUGGUGUAGCGGUGAAAUGCGCAGAUAUCAGGAGGAACACCGAUGGCGAAGGCAGGUUUCUGGGCCACCACUGACGCUGAGGAGCGGAAGCGUGGGGAGCAAACAGGAUUAGAUACCCUGAUAGUCCACGCCGUAAACGGUGGGCGCUAGAUGUGGGGACCAUUCCAUGGGUUCUGCGUCGAAGCUAACGCAUUAAGCGCCCCGCCUGGGGAGUACGGUCGCAAGACUAAAACUCAAAGGAAUUGACGGGGGCCCGCACAAGCAGCGGAGCAUGCGGAUUAAUUCGAUGCAGCGCGAAGAACCUUACCUAGGCUUGACAUAUAGAGGAGAAGUGCAGAGAUGUGGAGUCCGUAAGGGCUCUAUACAGGUGGUGCAUGGGUUGUCGUCAGCUCGUGUCGUGAGAUGUUGGGUUAAGUCCCCGCAACGAGCGCACCCCUCGUUCUAUGGUUGCCAGCGCGUAAUGGGCGGGGGACUCAUAGGAGACUGGCCGGGGUCAACUCGGAGGAAGGU